This 256-nucleotide ribosomal RNA is filed under the name uncultured bacterium. RNAcentral describes it as "partial 16S ribosomal RNA". It matches the Rfam family "Bacterial small subunit ribosomal RNA", at positions 524 to 776 of the family's 1533-position model. The record is from RNAcentral.
UACGUAGGGUGCGAGCGUUGAUCGGAAUUACUGGGCGUAAAGCGUGCGCAGGCGGUUUUGCAAGCCGGGAUGUGAAAUCCCCCGGGCUCAACCUGGGAAUGGCAUUUGGGACUGCAAGGCUCGAGUGCGGCAGAGGAGACUGGAAUUCCUGGAUGUAGCGGUGAAAUGCGCAGAUAUCAGGAGGAACACCGGUGGCGAAGGCGGGUCUCUGGGCCAAAACUGACGCUGAGGAGCGAAAGCGUGGGGAGCGAACAGG